RNAcentral lists this small RNA (350 nucleotides) under Oryza sativa Japonica Group (Japanese rice). Its description in RNAcentral is "sRNA Os03g0332600". Lineage: Eukaryota; Viridiplantae; Streptophyta; Magnoliopsida; Poales; Poaceae. The record is from RNAcentral.
AAAUACUUGAAUGACUUGUUGGGUUAGUUCCCAGCCUCUAGCCUACUUAUCAUGACAGAUUUCAGAUUUGUCACUCGGUUCCAUACAUUUUUAGUAUGCAUGAUGAGAGCAGUGCAUACUAAAUUCAGUAGAUGUUGAGUUAGUGGCUUAGUGCCCCAUUUAGCUAAACGUGUUAACUCUGAAAGUGGAGCAUUGAGUUCUCCAUUGAGUAUAGGUCACUUUCCCUACUUUUUGAAAUUUUGGAUUACAGUAUUAAGACAUGAAGAAAAGUAUCUUGUGUAUACACGAUUGACAAAAUUUUCAUGGUUUUAUCUACAAUUUAGCCAGUUUUGAAUAUUGGCUGUUCCUUC